AAACAUCGAAAUACCCAGAGAACCAACAAUUUCGCACAAGCCUUAUUUCUGCCCAGCCACCGCCGACCACCCUAGGACGUCGGAGCACCACCCACAGCGCCAAAAAACGCUGGCCAACCCAACCCCGUUGAACCCAAUCAUUUCCGAGGACCCAGUCGCGUCGCCGGUCACUUCCAACCACCCAGAGCCGCCGUCGCCUCAGCCUUUUUCUCUCGGUAACGCGCUACAAGUUGGAAGUCAGGAAGCAACGCUAAGAG
Juglans microcarpa x Juglans regia is the source of this 257-nucleotide long non-coding RNA. RefSeq lists it as uncharacterized. The record is from RefSeq and is a predicted model, not a curated record. Lineage: Eukaryota; Viridiplantae; Streptophyta; Magnoliopsida; Fagales; Juglandaceae. The transcript is spliced from 3 exons.